GCCCAAGAGAUCGGGAUAACACCUGGAAACAGAUGCUAAUACCGGAUAACAACAGAUGAUGCCUAUCAACUGUUUAAAAGAUGGUUCUGCUAUCACUCUUGGAUGGACCUGCGGUGCAUUAGCUAGUUGGUAGGGUAACGGCAUACCAAGGCGAUGAUGCAUAGCCGAGUUGAGAGACUGAUCGGCCACAUUGGGACUGAGACACGGCCCAAACUCCUACGGGAGGCAGCAGGC
This 234-nucleotide ribosomal RNA is filed under the name uncultured Lactobacillus sp. RNAcentral's name for it is "partial 16S ribosomal RNA". It matches the Rfam family "Bacterial small subunit ribosomal RNA", at positions 128 to 354 of the family's 1533-position model. Lineage: Bacteria; Bacillati; Bacillota; Bacilli; Lactobacillales; Lactobacillaceae. The record is from RNAcentral.